AUGUGGGUCCAUGUCUCUCAGAGUUUUAGGUUAGGCGACAUCUUUAAGGAGUUGUAUGAGGAAGCUUCAGAGCCUAAGGUUCCAUGCCCUCAAUUUAAUAACAUGAAUUCCUUGGAAAAAGAAUUGGAGAGGAAACUAGAUGGAAAGCGAUUCCUUCUGGUCUUAGAUGAUGUCUGGUGCAAUAAGGAUGUCGCUAAUCAGAAUCUACCAGAGUUACUUUCUCCGUUGAAGGUUGGAAAGAGAGGAAGCAAGAUCCUAUUGACAACUCGAAGUAGAUAUGUAUUCCCAGAUCUAGGUCCUGAUGUGAGAUAUACUGCCAUGCCGGUACCCGAGUUUGAUGAUGCUGCCUUCUUUGAGUUGUUCAUGCAUUAUGCCCUUGAAGAUGUCCAAGAUCAAAGAAAGUUCGAGAGCAUUGGGGCUGAGAUUGCAAAAAAGUUGAUGAGGUCACCUCUAGCAGCUAAAACAGUGGGAGGAAAUUUACGUCGGCAACAAGAGGUUAAAUAUUGGAGAGGAGUCAAUGAUAAGGACCUUAUCAAUAAACGGACAGGACCUCUGUGGUGGAGCUACUAUCAACUUGAUGAGCAGGCUAGGCGUUGCUUUGCAUAUUGCAGUAUUUUUCCUAGAAGACAUCGAUUGCGCCGUGAUGACUUAGUGAGACUGUGGGUUGCAGAAGGGUUCAUAAGAAGCACGGAUGAAGGGGGUGAUAUUGAAGAAGUUGCUGAGGAAAUCUUUAAUGAACUAUUGUCGAUCUCAUUUCUUCAACCGGUAGUCCGUGGCUGGGAGUACUAUUAUUAUGGCAUGGGAAAGGACCACUAUUUAGUUCAUGAUCUGCUGCAUGAUUUAGCAGAGGCAGUAGCUGGCAGUGACUGCUUCAGAAUUGACAAUAACACGAGCCAGAAAGGAGGAGGAUGGACAGGAGAUGUUCCCCGAGACGUUCGCCAUCUUUUUGUUCAGAGUUAUGAUGCAACAUUGAUUACUGAGAAGAUUCUUGAAUUGGGAAAGUUACACACUCUCAUCAUUUAUAGUGUUGGAGGGGAUACACCAGUUGAGGAAAUAGUCAUCAAGAACAUACUCAAGAGCCUGCCGAAACUGCGGGUACUAGCAAUUGCUUUUGGAGAAGAGGAUGCAUUUAUUUGUGGACAAAAUAUAUUCGCAGUAACUAUCAGUCAAUUAAAGCAUCUUCGCUAUCUUGCUGUACGGGUGGAAAAUACAUGCACAGUAAUUUUACCAAGCACAGUAAACCAGCUUUACCAGGUGCAGCUGUUAGAUUUUGGUAGAUGCAGUGGUUUGCUACUUUCCUGCCAUGAUCUUGUCAACUUGCGGCAUUUAUUAUGCGGUUCAGAAUUUGCAGAAUUAUCAAUUUCUAACAUCAGUUGGCUUAUCUCACUCCAAACCCUCCAAACAUUCCAAGUAUGGGGAUUAUUAAAAGGGCAGGAGGCAAAGCAGUUGAGGUACCUAAACAGGCUCAGCGGCAAAUUGAGUAUCUCUGGUCUGGAAAGUGUUGAAAGCAGAGAGGAAGCUCUUGAAGUCGAUCUAGCUGCCAAGAAACGGCUCACAGAUCUAACACUGUCAUUCUUUGCAAGUUCAGAAGUUGCAGCAAUGGUACUCGAGGGCCUUUGUCCUCCCGUGGGGCUUAAAGACCUGACAAUCCGUGGCUACAAUGGUUUGGUAUACCCAAAGUGGAUGGUGGGUAGGCAAAAUGGUGGACCAGAGAAGCUGCAGAAUCUUACUCUCUUCUUCUGGAGCCAGCCAGGACCUGCUCCUGCACUGGAGGCUUUCAUUCAUCUUCGUUUGCUCCAUCUGACGCACUGCAGUUGGAGCGCCUUGCCAGGCAAUAUGGAGCACCUUAGCUCGCUCGAGGCACUAUGGAUCUAUAAUUGUUCGAAUGUUCGGUCGCUUCCAAAGCUACCACAGUCUCUUGAGGAUUUUGCACUCGUCCACUGCAACGAUGGGUUUAUGGAGUCUUGUCAAACAGUUGGACAUCCAAACUGGCAAAACAUUCAACACAUCCCCAGCAAAUAUUUUGGGAGUAAGAACACAUCCCAAAAAGGGUAG
This 2055-nucleotide ribosomal RNA is filed under the name Triticum aestivum (bread wheat). Its description in RNAcentral is "partial small subunit ribosomal RNA". The record is from RNAcentral. Lineage: Eukaryota; Viridiplantae; Streptophyta; Magnoliopsida; Poales; Poaceae.